RNAcentral lists this unclassified non-coding RNA (48 nucleotides) under Sorangium cellulosum So ce56. Lineage: Bacteria; Pseudomonadati; Myxococcota; Polyangiales; Polyangiaceae. The record is from RNAcentral.
AGCAACGAGGAGCGCUUCGCUCCUUUCUGGGAGGUUCACCAUGUCGUU